Molecule: ribosomal RNA, 450 nt
Filed under: uncultured bacterium
Lineage: Bacteria
Description: bacterial SSU rRNA
Rfam family: Bacterial small subunit ribosomal RNA
Source: RNAcentral
UCAAGAAACUUCCACAAUGGGCGAAAGCCUGAUGGAGUGACGUCGCGUGAUGGACGAAGUGCUUCGGCACGUAAACAUCUUUUAUGUGGGAUGAAAUUAUUGACAGUACCACAUGAAUAAGGGGCUCCUAACUCUGUGCCAGCAGGAGCGGUAAUACAGAGGCCCCAAGCGUUAUCCGGAAUCACUGGGCGUAAAGGGUGUCGAGGCGGUUGUAUUAGUCGUUCGUAAAAUCUACGAGCUUAACUUGUAGGCGGCGAACGAAACGGUACGACUUGAGGUUUGGAGAGGUGCGUGGAACUCACGGUGUAGGGGUGAAAUCCGUUGAUAUCGUGGGGAACACCAAAGGCGAAGGCAGCGCACUGGCCAAAAUCUGACGCUCACACACGAAAGCUAGGGUAGCGAAGAGGAUUAGAUACCCAUGUAGUCCCUGAGCGGGCUGGCAAGGCGCAU